This 156-nucleotide small RNA is filed under the name Bradyrhizobium erythrophlei. RNAcentral's name for it is "caulobacter sRNA CC2171". The record is from RNAcentral. Lineage: Bacteria; Pseudomonadati; Pseudomonadota; Alphaproteobacteria; Hyphomicrobiales; Nitrobacteraceae.
CAACAAUGAAAGGAGGUGAUCCAGUGUCUUACACCAAGCGCUGUCACCUCGCUGGGAUCGCCCGCUAAGCUCUCAAAGCUUCGCAACUGGGCGUCUCAGCGCCUGGACCAGCGAGUUAUGAAAGUUGGGGCGCGACGGGAGCCAUCCCGUCGCGUC